AGUGAACGCUGGCGGUAGGCCUAACACAUGCAAGUCGAACGGCAGCACAGUAAGAGCUUGCUCUUACGGGUGGCGAGUGGCGGACGGGUGAGGAAUACAUCGGAAUCUACUUUUUCGUGGGGGAUAACGUAGGGAAACUUACGCUAAUACCGCAUACGACCUACGGGUGAAAGCAGGGGAUCUUCGGACCUUGCGCGUUUGAAUGAGCCGAUUCCGGAUUAGCUAGUUGGCGGGGUAAAGGCCCACCAAGGCGACGAUCCGUAGCUGGUCUGAGAGGAUGAUCAGCCACACUGGAACUGAGACACGGUCCAGACUCCUACGGGAGGCAGCAGUGGGGAAUAUUGGACAAUGGGCGCAAGCCUGAUCCAGCCAUACCGCGUGGGUGAAGAAGGCCUUCGGGUUGUAAAGCCCUUUUGUUGGGAAAGAAAAGCAGCAGGUUAAUACCCCGCUGUUCUGACGGUACCCAAAGAAUAAGCACCGGCUAACUUCGUG
This 492-nucleotide ribosomal RNA is filed under the name uncultured bacterium. RNAcentral's name for it is "partial 16S ribosomal RNA". It matches the Rfam family "Bacterial small subunit ribosomal RNA", at positions 29 to 507 of the family's 1533-position model. The record is from RNAcentral.